Molecule: ribosomal RNA, 253 nt
Filed under: uncultured bacterium
Lineage: Bacteria
Description: partial 16S ribosomal RNA
Rfam family: Bacterial small subunit ribosomal RNA
Source: RNAcentral
UACAGAGGUCCCGAGCGUUGUUCGGAUUUAUUGGGCGUAAAGGGUGCGUAGGUGGCAAAGUAAGUUGGAUGUGAAAUCCUGGGGCUUAACUGGGGAACUGCGUCUGAUACUGGCGAGCUUGAGUGCAGGAGAGGAACGCGGAAUUCCAGGUGUAGCGGUGAAAUGCGUAGAUAUCUGGAGGAACACCGGUGGCGAAGGCGGCGUUCUGGACUGCAACUGACACUGAGGAACGAAAGCCAGGGGAGCAAACGGG